RNAcentral lists this ribosomal RNA (465 nucleotides) under uncultured bacterium. RNAcentral describes it as "partial 16S ribosomal RNA". It matches the Rfam family "Bacterial small subunit ribosomal RNA", at positions 338 to 795 of the family's 1533-position model. The record is from RNAcentral.
CCUACGGGAGGCAGCAGUAGGGAAUCUUCCACAAUGGGCGAAAGCCUGAUGGAGCAACGCCGCGUGGGUGAAGAAGUACUUUGGAUCGUAAAACCCUGUUGUUAGAGAAGAAAGUGCGUGAGAGUAACUGUUAACGUUUCGACGGUAUCUAACCAGAAAGCCACGGCUAACUACGUGCCAGCAGCCGCGGUAAUACGUAGGUGGCAAGCGUUAUCCGGAUUUAUUGGGCGUAAAGGGAACGCAGGCGGUCUUUUAAGUCUGAUGUGAAAGCCUUCGGCUUAACCGGAGUAGUGCAUUGGAAACUGGGAGACUUGAGUGCAGAAGAGGAGAGUGGAACUCCAUGUGUAGCGGUGAAAUGCGUAGAUAUAUGGAAGAACACCAGUGGCGAAAGCGGCUCUCUGGUCUGUAACUGACGCUGAGGUCCGAAAGCGUGGGUAGCAAACAGGAUUAGAUACCCCUGUAGUC